Tigriopus californicus is the source of this 1623-nucleotide long non-coding RNA. RefSeq lists it as uncharacterized. The transcript has 4 exons. The record is from RefSeq and is a predicted model, not a curated record. Lineage: Eukaryota; Metazoa; Arthropoda; Copepoda; Harpacticoida; Harpacticidae.
UCUGUACCUCUCUAUUUGAAACAUGUGUUGUCAUUCUCUUUCAGGGAAUGCAAAGUCGACCCCUAACACCGCAGGACCAGGCUCCAAUUCUACAAUUCCAGAUCAAUGUUCUGGCAAAGCCGGCAGGAGAGCAUGCAUUGAAUAAAACGACUUUCUGACUCUGACUCCCUUUCCACCCAUUUUCCAUUUAUAUGCAUGCUCAAACUUUCAGUCAUUGUGACUCAUAAAUUCGGAAACACUUUGGGGCACCCUGAUGCAUCUUUGUCUGCACAAGCGUGAUAUUUCACCCAGAGGGUAAACAACGUUGAGAAAGUUCAGCCAGGCUUUGGCUUUGGCAAUGUUCCUGAAAGUUGGCACUAGUUGACCCUGAUUGUGAUUGGAUCCCAUUCGACUCAUUCGAGAGUGGACCGUUAUUUAGUGGUGGGCUAUAACGCUUCGGGGUCCAUUUGGGUCACGCAUUGGUGAGACAAGGGUGCUUCGGGCAUUUUAAUUAAGGAAUCCCCCCCCCCCCCUCCCCAAGAUCACCACAAGAUUACUUAAGCUUGUACUACGGAACAUUCCCACUAGCGUCUUGGAAUAUGUAUACUGAUCAAACCACCUCAGUUUGGUACCGACCUGGUUAUAUUUGUCCUGACUUGAGAUUGACUGAGUAUCGUAAAACAAGGGAGGUAUCAAUGAACGUGUUCGGUGGUACCGAAUGAUUUCAUCGAUCAACGAGCCUCUGUCCCGGAAUCCUUUACUGGAUAGUUUAUGAUGUAAGCUACACAGUGGAUGUGUCGGUAUGUUGAUCAAUGAGCACAGCUGAGAACCUUUUUAAGGGGAUCUGCCUAUCCAUGAUUUGUUUUUUCCAUUGCAGAUCCAGGCAUGGACCCAUCAUUUAUUCGUCUGACCACCACGAACCUCGCCGUCUCCUCAAGGCCAUUUCGAAAUUCAGUGGUUCUCGAGCUGGCUGAAGGUUUGGCAUCAGUCCAGCGGGCUUAAAGCAUUGAAAUUUGAUCCCAUAACAUACUAAAUUUCAGAAACCUUUCACGGGAAUGAAAUGCAACAAUGUCGACCACCCUUCUUGAUGUUUGUAGUUUGUUUUGGUGGAAAGGCAAUCAUAGAAACCUUUGAUACACGAGGAAUGUCAACUGAUUAGCUCACGUUCUGAUGUUGGGACCAAAGGCACAAACGUGGUACUUGACAAAGUUCCCAAAAAACAUUUCCAAAUACCGACGAGCAGUCGGUAAGAAAAAGAAAGACCACGUUCAUUUUGAUUGCGGUAUUUCGGCCUUAGGAGCAUAUUUGAAGGUUAGGCCCCUCCCUCCUCUCUCUGUUCAAGAUGAAGAGGAUUGGAAUUUUCUCUCAUUGUCCUCCUGGUCAUGGGUAUCUCACAAUAAAGGACCAGACCAUCAUUUCAUUGAACGCCUACUUUCAAAAGGAUGGACCGCUUAUCACAGGAGAAUUAUUGGGCAUCAUUUUUCACACCGAGACAUCCCAGGUGUGGGCUGCAGUUGUCUGUCAUUGACAUACUAUAUUUUCCAUUUCAUUUGGAUCGUGGAUCGUUGUCCCGAAUGUGGCAAUUGGGCGCUCUUCCGACGUACGAAAGUGCAAGACGAGUAGGUGUAAAGACCCAAGGUUAAG